This 727-nucleotide long non-coding RNA is filed under the name Ananas comosus (pineapple). Its description in RNAcentral is "long non-coding RNA (ACOM_LNC038816)". The record is from RNAcentral. Lineage: Eukaryota; Viridiplantae; Streptophyta; Magnoliopsida; Poales; Bromeliaceae.
AAUUUUUUUUUAAAAAAAAAACUUUAAAUAUUAUUCCUGUAAUUUCAUAUUUUUUCACUAUAGUAUCCUAUAAUUUUAAGUAUAUAAAUUUAGUAUCAUGUAGUUUUAUUUUUAUUUUUUUAUUAUUAAUUUCACUAAUUUCAGUGACAAAGUUAAAAAUAAAUGGUAUUAAAGUGAAUAUUCGAUAAAUCUAAAUAGAAUAUCUGAAAUUUUUGCAUAUAAUUUAACGAUAACGGAAAAAACUAACGAAAAAAAUAAAAAUGAAACCAUAUAACACUAACUUGAUACACUUUAAACCACAUGGUAUUAAAAUGAGAAAGUGUGAAACUAUAGAAAUGGUUUUUGAAGUUUACCCUAAAAAAAAAAAGAAAUGCUUCAAUACACCAGCUCAAUUAAAUAUAGUCGUUCAUAUUUUAUGGUCGAGAUUGACUUUUACAAAGCAGAAACCUGCACAUCAGGUCACCAACCAAAAUCAAUACUAAAUGCAAUAUUGGAAAAUAAAUACUAGCCAAUUACCAAAUUAAAUAACAUUCAACAAAUAUUUAUUUUCUUCUUUAAUUUUGUCACUUAUCAAAUUAGAUAUGGCUAAUUUGAUAAGUAACAAAUCUUCAUAGAUUGAAUUUAAAAUUAAAUUUGAGCUUAAACUUUAUAAUUGUAUAUAGUAAAUUCAAAUUUAAAUUUAAAUUUAAUUUUUAGAAAGAAAAAAAUUAUAUUUAAAUGAGUAGUA